Maylandia zebra (zebra mbuna) is the source of this 181-nucleotide long non-coding RNA. RefSeq lists it as uncharacterized. The record is from RefSeq and is a predicted model, not a curated record. Lineage: Eukaryota; Metazoa; Chordata; Actinopteri; Cichliformes; Cichlidae.
UUCAGGUCCUGAGGACGUCGCUUAUGGUCAGGUAGUCAUCAAAAGCAAGAAGAAAGCUGGCAAGAGGAAAGAGCAGUCAGCUGAUCCAUGUGCUGUGUACUCAUCAGUCAGAGCAGGAAGCUGAGGACACACUCAGUCUGAUGGACGACCUUCAUCCUUCACUCUGCUCCUCUUUCAGAGC